ACGCACGCUGGCGGCGUGCCUAAUCCAUGCAAGUAGCACGCUGAAGGAGGAGCUUGCUUCUCCGGAUGAGUUGCGAACGGGUGAGUAACGCGUAGGUAACCUGCCUGGUAGCGGGGGAUAACUAUUGGAAACGAUAGCUAAUACCGCAUAAGAGUAGAUGUCGCAUGACAUUUGCUUAAAAGGUGCAACUGCACCACUACCAGAUGGACCUGCGUUGUAUUAGCUAGUUGGUGAGGUAACGGCUCACCAAGGCAACGAUACAUAGCCGACCUGAGAGGGUGAUCGGCCACACUGGGACUGAGACACGGCCCAGACUCCUACGGGAGGCAGCAGUAGGGAAUCUUCGGCAAUGGACGGAAGUCUGACCGAGCAACGCCGCGUGAGUGAAGAAGGUUUUCGGAUCGUAAAGCUCUGUUGUAAGAGAAGAACGAGUGUGAGAGUGGAAAGUUCACACUGUGACGGUAUCUUACCAGAAAGGGACGGCUAACUACGUG
This 494-nucleotide ribosomal RNA is filed under the name uncultured bacterium. RNAcentral describes it as "partial 16S ribosomal RNA". It matches the Rfam family "Bacterial small subunit ribosomal RNA", at positions 29 to 507 of the family's 1533-position model. The record is from RNAcentral.